This is a long non-coding RNA of Cornus florida, 679 nucleotides long. RefSeq lists it as uncharacterized. Lineage: Eukaryota; Viridiplantae; Streptophyta; Magnoliopsida; Cornales; Cornaceae. The record is from RefSeq and is a predicted model, not a curated record. The transcript has 7 exons.
AGAGAAACAUACAAUACCGAGAAUUUUAUUAUCGUUAUCAGAAAAAGAAGGUAGAGAAGGGAGGGAAGCGAAGCCAAGCAAAGCAAAGCGAAGUCGGAGGGUUUCGUUACUGAUGGACGGCGUCAAGAUGUAUAAGCAGUUCUCUAAACUGCUGUUGCUUGCUAAAAUUUGUGGUCUCGAAGAUGAGCUAGAGUAAAAGUCGUCCGCGUCACAAGACGCAAAAGAGGUGUGACCGAGUACUGAAAAAGUAAAAUCAUGAGGGGCUAGAGUUUUCAGAAAAAGGACGAAGAGAAGGGAAGAGAAGCGAAGGCAAGCAAGCCGAAGCGAAGUCGGAGGGCUUCGUUACUGAUGGACAUCGUCAAGAUGCAUAGACAGUUCUCUAAACUGCCGUUGCUUGCUAAAAUUUAUAUCUUUCCGGUGUCUGUAGUUACUCUGAUGGGUAUCGGCGCUCUGAUUGCUCAUGAGAGAAAUCAACUCGUGAAAUAUCUCCAAAAACGGUAUCCUGAUUUAUGAGCAAGAGAAGAUGAUGACAAUGGAAUAGUCCUUUUCUAGGGGCAGAAUAAUAAUGAUAAGCACUACUAAACUGUGCACGCCUUUUAUGAAUUUGUGUUAAAGGAUUGCUAGAAAAUAUUCUAAGGAUUUCUUUGAACUUAAUAGCAUUUUGACCUCAACUUUGUCA